RNAcentral lists this long non-coding RNA (600 nucleotides) under Ananas comosus (pineapple). Its description in RNAcentral is "long non-coding RNA (ACOM_LNC007331)". The record is from RNAcentral. Lineage: Eukaryota; Viridiplantae; Streptophyta; Magnoliopsida; Poales; Bromeliaceae.
GCAUGUAAGAAUAAUAUGAACAAUUAACUUGUUGAAAUGGAAGCUCAAUAUAGCAUGAAGUCACUACUUUCAUCAGUAAUAAUCUACCACAAGAUCUCUACUUAGCAUGGAUUUGCAUAAGUAAUAACUAUCACAUGAUCUCUACAUAGCAGGAAUUUGCAUUAGUAAUAAAAGUAACUACUACAAGCAUGUGCACAAGAGUAUCCAACAUGUAAAUGCAUAAAUAUGCAACUAGCCCAAUGUCCACAAUGUAAAUAGUAAAGAUGUCAUUCUCUACUAUUCUAGUCAAUGUCCAAAAGGUACAAUAUGUCACCAGUAACCCAAUCCUGUGGAAGCUACCCGUAGGUAGUCCGGCCUGCGCCGUGCCAACAAUGGCCCCGUGGUAGUCAACAUCCCCACUCUAGGAAUGAGCCUCCCCCACGGCAUCCCAUUUUGGCGCCCAAUCCCGCACGGGCAAGCAAAUGUCGCGAUGGCUAUCUCCAGAGUGCCGACUUGUAGGGAGCGACCCUCACAAGUAUGUGCGAAUGAGCACAAUGGCAUGCAAGCGAAUAAGUCCGUCUCAGGUCCCAGUGGUUCAUCACUGUUUCAUCGAAUCUAAAA